GACGAACGCUGGCGGCGUGCUUAACACAUGCAAGUCGAACGGAAAGGCCCUGCUUUUGUGGGGUGCUCGAGUGGCGAACGGGUGAGUAACACGUGAGUAACCUGCCCUUGACUUUGGGAUAACUUCAGGAAACUGGGGCUAAUACCGGAUAGGAGCUCCUGCUGCAUGGUGGGGGUUGGAAAGUUUCGGCGGUUGGGGAUGGACUGGCGGCUUAUCAGCUUGUUGGUGGGGUAGUGGCUGACCAAGGCUUGGACGGGUAGCCGGCCUGAGAGGGUGACCGGCCACAUUGGGACUGAGAUACGGCCCAGACUCCUACGGGAGGCAGAAGUGGGGAAUAUUGCACAAUGGGCGGAAGCCUGAUGCAGCAACGCCGCGUGCGGGAUGACGGCCUUCGGGUUGUAAACCGCUUUCGCCUGUGACGAAGCGUGAGUGACGGUAAUGGGUAAAGAAGCACCGGCUAACUACGUG
This 468-nucleotide ribosomal RNA is filed under the name uncultured bacterium. Its description in RNAcentral is "partial 16S ribosomal RNA". It matches the Rfam family "Bacterial small subunit ribosomal RNA", at positions 28 to 507 of the family's 1533-position model. The record is from RNAcentral.